UACGGAGGGUGCAAGCGUUAUCCGGAUUCACUGGGUUUAAAGGGAGCGUAGGUGGGUUGGUAAGUCAGUGGUGAAAUCCCCGAGCUUAACUUGGGAACUGCCAUUGAUACUAUCAGUCUUGAAUACUGUGGAGGUUAGCGGAAUAUGUCAUGUAGCGGUGAAAUGCUUAGAUAUGACAUAGAACACCAAUUGCGAAGGCAGCUUACUACCCGAAUAUUGACACUGAGGCACGAAAGCGUGGGGAUCAAACAGG
RNAcentral lists this ribosomal RNA (253 nucleotides) under uncultured bacterium. RNAcentral describes it as "partial 16S ribosomal RNA". It matches the Rfam family "Bacterial small subunit ribosomal RNA", at positions 524 to 776 of the family's 1533-position model. The record is from RNAcentral.